Molecule: ribosomal RNA, 630 nt
Filed under: Rhizoctonia solani
Lineage: Eukaryota; Fungi; Basidiomycota; Agaricomycetes; Cantharellales; Ceratobasidiaceae
Description: eukaryotic LSU rRNA
Rfam family: 5.8S ribosomal RNA (bases 199-352)
Source: RNAcentral
GCUCCUAAUUAAACUUGGGGGCAUGUGCACACCUUUCUCUUUCAUCCCAUACACACCUGUGCACCUGUGAGACAGAUGUUUUGUGGGGGGGAAGGAACUUUAUUGGACCUUCUACUCCCCCUUGACUUCUGUCUACUUAAUUCAUAUAAACUCAAUUUAUUUUAAAACGGAUGUAAUGGAUGUAACACAUCUAAUACUAAGUUUCAACAACGGAUCUCUUGGCUCUCGCAUCGAUGAAGAACGCAGCGAAAUGCGAUAAGUAAUGUGAAUUGCAGAAUUCAGUGAAUCAUCGAAUCUUUGAACGCACCUUGCGCUCCUUGGUAUUCCUUGGAGCAUGCCUGUUUGAGUAUCAUGAAAUCUUCAAAGUCAAACCUUUUGUUAAUUCAAUUGGUUCUGCUUUGGUAUUGGAGGAUUAUUGCAGCUUCACACCUGCUCCUCUUUGUGCAUUAGCUGGAUCUCAGUGUUAUGCUUGGUUCCACUCAGCGUGAUAAGUUAUCUAUCGCUGAGGACACCCUGUUAAAAAGGGGUGGCCAAGGUAAAUGCAGAUGAACCGCUUCUAAUAGUCCAUUGACUUGGACAAUAUCUAAUUUAUGAUCUGAUCUCAAAUCAGGUAGGACUACCCGCUGAACU